AUUUAUUUAAUAUAAAAAGUAUAACUGACUUCCAAUCAGUAAGUUUGAUAACAAAGUAAAUA
Molecule: transfer RNA, 62 nt
Filed under: Lipotactes tripyrga
Lineage: Eukaryota; Metazoa; Arthropoda; Insecta; Orthoptera; Tettigoniidae
Description: tRNA-Gly
Source: RNAcentral